AAAAUUGGAAAAACACUUUGGAUCUGUUAGGGGAGACAGUGUUGCUUUGUUGGGGAGAAAAGAAGGUUUAAGAAAUGUAUGUUUUUACUCUUCACUUGCAUAUCUUAGGGUGGGGUUUUGUGGUUGGUUGUGUCUGUUUUUUGUUUGUUAGGUUUUUAAAUAUAUAUUGCUUGAAUUUCAAAUGUGUCUUCUUGAAACUGAGACCAAAAGAGUCUUUUAUGGUAUUUUCCUUCCCUCUUUUCCUCCCAUCUCAGUCCCCCUACAACAGAAAACAUUAGAAGAAGUCCAGUUGGCAAAGCGUAAUGAAAUAAAUGAACUAUUGUAUUUGUUGGCCUUUUAUGAAUAAGCUAGUAUUCAUUUAUUGCUGCAUUCUAAUAAUGGAAUUCAGGUAACGGAGGUUAAGUAAGCCCGGGAGUAUAAUUGGAAAACUAAUUUUUUACUUGCAGACAGGGUACUGUGAAUUUGAUUCUUGGCUCUUUUUUGGGAAGGAGGUAUAAAUGUUAAUUUUACUGCCUUCUAGCUUAAAAUACAGUAAAGGUUAAAUAAAUACGGAGCAGAAAAAAAUCUAGUAGUGUGACCUAUAAAAGUAUAAAUGGCCUAGUGUUCUCUUCUGUUUGCACUUUUUCAGCAGCACUAAGUAAUUUCAUGUCAGUGGAGUAGCGUUUAGUACUGCAUCAUAUAUGGCUUCUGUAUUCAAAAGUACAUUCAUACCCAAAUGUUUGGAAUCCAAAAACGUCACAACCCAAAAACAAAUCCCCCCACCCAAUCAAAAAAAACCCCAACAAAACCAAACAACAAAACAACAAACACCCAACAAAAAAAUCCCACUUAACAGCAAAAUUCAAGAUUGUCUUUUUUCCAGAGUCCCACUAGGUGCCAGCAAAGGACUUUAUCAGACGACAGGAGCCAGUGAAACAUUUUGUAGGAAUUCUCAAUGCCAUUACUCUUGUGAGAGUUGACAGUAUAUUGACUUCUUGACAUACUGAUCAUUUUUUUUUUUUUUUUAAUAAAAAUUAAAACGGAACAAAAAUUAUCCAUGAAUGUAUGAGUUUGUAUAUAGUGGUGCAGAAUUGCUUCUGUAAUUGUGCUUGGUAAUCAUAUUUUUCUCUGCGCAUACUUAGCUUAGUGUGCUAAAAUAUGCAUAGCUGCUCAUGUAUUUACAUGCCAUAUUGAACUCUAAUGAAUGUCCACUUAUUGUGGGCUUCCAGCACACAAGAGGUAGUUCAGUUUGUAAGAAUAGUUUGUUUCUUUCUACCUUUAAUAGCUGUACUGUAGAAAGGUUAAUGUAUAAAACGAAAGGUUAAAAUGGGAGGCUGAAAAGAAAUGCUGAAUUAGUAAUCAGAAUAACUUUUUGUGGUUCCAAUUCAGUUAUUCUUCACUGAAAAUGAUGAAUUAAUUGGCAGGAGAGGUUUUACUAUGUGCAGAUCUUUAGAAAGUAUGAUUGCCUCACAGCAUGUAGAUUGUGAAAUAGUGCCAAAUUUCCUUAAAGUGUUAUUUAAAUAGUGCAGGAAGCCUUCUUUUUCUUUUCUUUUUCCUUUUUUUAAGGGGAGGAGGCUUAUUUCCCUGGUUUAUGCAUAAUUCAGACCUCAGCAGUUUGCUAGCAUGGUUACUAUUUGGAAAUUCAAUCCUAGACUUGAUACUCAAUUAUAUGGGACUUCAUUCCUACCAACUUCCUGUAAUUCUAAACCUAUGGGUAAAAAUAUUAGUAGUCAUACGCUGCUGAGGAAAGUACGGACACAUUGACUCAGCUCAUGCAGCUGCAGCAGGAGUUGCUGUUUUAAACUUGGAAGUACUGGAAGUUUAUUAUUGUAUUCAUUUAUGCAAAUUGCAGAAGGUAUAAUUGAAACAAGGUCAGUAGUGUUUGUCAGUUGUUGCAGCUGAGGUCACUGGAACAUGAGUGCUUUGUAAAUGAAUGCUUUCUGACUGCAAGCCAUCAAAGACGGUCCAGAAACUGCAGUUCAACGAGUCGCUGACUUAUUUCAAGAGGUACAGUUGGUUUGUUUUUUUUUUUUUUUUUUAACACUAGUAUUUUGUAGAAAGUAGGGCAAAGACUGCAACUUCUAUGGACUUUUACUGCUGUGAUGUACUAGCUCUAGGUUCUGUGCAGCUGCCUGUAGCAUUUCUGCUGAAGGAUCUUUGUGGUUUUCAUUUGCUAACAUGCAUGGAAAUGAGAACAAAUGGCACGACGGUUAAGACUGCAUUUUGCUACCCAAAGAAGCAACACAGAUCCAUUAUCAGAAACCUCUGAAGAUGUGUCGGAUAGUAACAGUUGUAUGUACUUCAAAAAGCUGCAGAAUUCUGCACCUAAUGUUACACAAAUGAAACUGACUCCUAGACAGGUUGCUUAUGCACCUGUAAUGCAACAAGUAAUUAAUGAAGAGGGAAGUGGAACUGUUUCUUCAUUGCAAAUAAAAAAGAGCACUUCACUGCACAUUUCCCUGCAGUCUAGAAAGUAUAGUGGAUGUCUUCGGUCUGGUGAUGCUGAACCUACUGCUGAAGACACUUCAUUCAUUGGUAUUGGUAAUGAAGGAAACUGUGGAGCUAGAAUUGUGGUUGAUCAUCGACCUAAUGAUAGCCUUCUGAGCAAUACCGUUCUGUGCAAUGGCAGCCUUAGCAGUAUUGCAGCCAGUGACAGUGGAUCGUUCAGCAGUGCUGGCAGUGACUACGGAUCAUGUGCAAGUACCACAAGCGAUGGAGGUUCAUAUAGUAACAGUGUCAUCAGUGACAGUGGUAGUGGCACUCUUUCAACAGGUGAUGGUACUUUCUGUAGUAGUAUUCAUGGUGAUUCUUCAUAUAGAAGCACUGCAAACAAAUGUAAUCCCUACAGGGGCAGCUCAUCUCGGGAAAGUCUGUCUAGAACUAAAACUACUUUUGACCAAGAUGCUUUGUCAGUAAGGAAGAAAACUAAAAUUCCAUUGCGACGUUGUUCAUCACUGGUUAUUUUUCCUAGGAGUCCCUCCAGUACUCCUCCAGCUUCGCCAGUAAGCUCAGGUCAACUACCACAUAGAGGCUCCUAUCAAACAUCUCAUAAACUAAUUAUUUCUCCUAGUGAGCUGGCACAAAAAGAAGAUCAAACCAUUUCCAAAGGAUUCCUUUCGACAGCAGUCAAUGGACUUCGACUGUCUAAAACGGUUUGCUCUUCUGAUGAAGUCAGAGACAUUCGACCGCUUUACUUGAAUCCAUCGCUACAGGACAAAAGUCAAAUCUUGAAUAGUUCCAAGCAGGCAACUAGUGAAGAAGUAUCUGAUGGCUUCUCAUGUGUUUCAGUUCAUCUCUCUCAAAGAGCAUUUGCAUCGAGCAGUGAAAUGGUUAAUGACUGUUGCAGUCCAGAGUUAAAUCUGAACUCCAGUGCAAAAUACCCUCACUUAAAACUGGCACGUAGCACAUCUGCAUGUUUACCCUCAAAAAUUGAUCCAGAAUAUCAGGUUAAUAUAAAUGAACCAGAAAGACCAAAUGCACAGAUGAGCAAAACCCACCAUGUUUUGCAAAGAAGUGUUUCGCUGGAAGGAUCACGUCAAAAAGUUUCUUGCUGUUUAUCCAGCAAGUGUCAUAGUGGAAGGACGUCUCAGUUGCACAUACAGUUCAAACCUGGGAAUGAAGGAGAACCAACUGUUGUUAAGAAAAGAUAUGGAACCUCUAAAAGGGAAAUGUCUAGUGCUUCUUUGUGGAGGCCCCAUAAGACUCGAGAUGAUUUUCUUGGGCAAGUGGAUAUUCCUCUUUAUCAGUUACCGACAGAAAAUCCAAGUAUGGAGAGACCAUAUACGUUUAAGGAUUUUGUUCUUCAUCCAAGAAGCCAUAAAUCAAGAGUUAAAGGCCACCUUCGAUUAAAAAUGACAUACUUACCUAAAAGCAAUGGGUCUGAAGAAGAAACCACAGAACAGGCGGAAGAAUUAGAGCCUGGGUGGAUUAUAUUGGACCAACCAGAUGCUGCUAGCCAGCCACAACAGCAGCAACAGGAAUCUCCUCCACUGCCUUCAGGCUGGGAAGAAAGGCAAGACAUCCUCGGCAGGACCUACUAUGUCAAUCACGAAUUCAGAAGAACACAGUGGAAAAGACCAACUGCUCAGGACAAUGUAGCUGUUGCAGACAUUGGUAGUGUGCAGUUGGAGGCCCAGCAUGUGUUCACUCAUAGGCGACAGAUAUCAGAGGAUACAGAAAAUCUCGACAACAGAGAUUCCCCUGAGAGCUGGGAAAUUAUAACUGAAGAUGAGGCAACAAUGUAUAGCAAUCAGAACCUUCAAAUACCUCUCUCUCAGAGUAAUUCUGAUAUACAGACUCAUCUUGCAGAAGAAUUGAAUACCAGACUUACUACCUCUGGAAGUUCAGCUACUGGCCAGUCAGCCACCUACACUAACCAUUCCAGCAGAAGAGGAAGUCUGCAAACAUACAGAGUUGAAGAGCAGCCUGCACAUCCAGUGUUACUGCCUACUUCAUCUGGAUUACCCCCAGGCUGGGAAGAACGACAAGAUGAAAAAGGGAGGUCAUAUUAUAUAGACCACAAUUCUAGAACCACCACCUGGGUAAAACCAGUUGUACAGACUGCUACGGAAACAGGUCAGUCGUCAGCUACACAAAGCAUUUCUAUGGGAAGACAAUCACAAGCAACAUCAAGUGAUUCAUCACAACAGUCUUCUCAGCAGCAGCCUGAAACGGAGCAAGGAUUUCUCCCUAAAGGCUGGGAAGUUCGACAUGCACCUAAUGGGAGACCAUUCUUUAUUGACCACAAUACCAAAACUACAACAUGGGAAGAUCCAAGACUGAAAAUUUCUGCUCAUCCAAGGAGAAAGACUUCCCUAGAUCCAGUAGAUCUGGGCCCAUUACCACCAGGGUGGGAAGAAAGAACUCACACAGAUGGAAGAAUAUUCUUCAUAAACCACAAAAUGUCUUGCAGAUACAAAGAAAACACAGUGGGAGGAUCCUCGACUGCAGAAUGUGGCAAUAACUGGACCAGCUGUGCCUUACUCCAGGGACUAUAAGCGGAAGUAUGAGUUCUUCAGAAAGAAAUUGAAGAAACAGGGUGAUAUUCCAAAUAGAUUUGAAAUGAAAAUUCAUCGCACAACAAUCCUUGAAGAUUCUUAUAGAAGGAUUAUAGCUGUAAAGAGAGCAGAUUUCCUUAAAGCAAGACUUUGGAUUGAAUUUGAUGGUGAAAAAGGUUUAGACUAUGGAGGAGUGGCCAGGGAAUGGUUCUUCCUUCUCUCUAAAGAAAUGUUUAAUCCUUAUUAUGGAUUGUUUGAAUAUUCAGCAACAGAUAACUAUACUCUGCAGAUCAAUCCAAACUCUGGACUUUGCAAUGAAGAUCAUCUCUCUUAUUUCAAGUUUAUAGGUCGUGUAGCUGGAAUGGCUGUUUACCAUGGCAAACUUUUGGAUGCCUUUUUUAUUCGUCCUUUUUACAAGAUGAUGCUCCAAAAGCCAAUAACACUUCAUGAUAUGGAGUCUGUGGAUAGUGAAUAUUACAAUUCUCUGCGAUGGAUUCUUGAAAACGAUCCAACAGAACUGGACCUCAGAUUUGUAGUUGAUGAGGAACUUUUUGGUCAGACUCAUCAACAUGAAUUGAAAAGUGGUGGAUCAGAAAUAGUUGUCACCAACAAGAACAAGAGAGACUACAUUCAUCUGGUAAUUCAGUGGAGAUUUGUGAGCAGAGUACAGAAACAAAUGUCAGCCUUUAAAGAGGGCUUUUUUGAACUAAUACCGCAGGAUCUGAUUAAAAUCUUUGAUGAAAAUGAGCUAGAGUUAUUAAUGUGUGGACUGGGAGAUGUGGACGUGGCUGAUUGGAAACUACAUACAAAAUACAAAAAUGGCUACAACGUAAACCAUCAAGUAAUACAAUGGUUCUGGAAGGCAGUCUUAAUGAUGGACUCUGAAAAGAGAAUAAGAUUACUUCAAUUUGUUACUGGCACAUCACGUGUACCUAUGAAUGGGUUUGCUGAGCUGUAUGGUUCAAAUGGACCACAGUUGUUUACAGUCGAACAGUGGGGCACCCCUGAAAAACUGCCAAGAGCUCAUACCUGCUUUAACCGCUUGGAUUUGCCUCCAUAUGACUCGUUUGAAGAUUUACGGGAUAAACUUCUUCUGGCGAUUGAAAAUACUCAGGGUUUUGAUGGGGUUGAUUAAGACACAGACAUAAUUUGUAUUGGUCCAGUGCUGCAAUUUAAUUUUAAGGGUUUACAGACAAAUUUGAUUUUUCCAGGGACUACCAUUGUAUUUAGUCACAUGGCUAUUGAAUCUUCAUAGUAUUACUUAUAAAGUAAGUAUUCAAAAUUCACUAACUUCUGAAAAUGUAUUUUGCCAUUUCCACAGUUUUGUGUACUUUGCUAAUAACUACAAUAUACACAUUGGAUGGGCCAGUGCCAAGUAUUUCAAAACCUAAAAUAUUUUUAAGCAGUUGCCUCUUCUACAGUAUUUGACAGACUGUCCUGCAGUAAACUACUGAAGUAAAACUGUGAAGAAAUCUUUGCAGAGAGUGUAAAUUUGAAUUGCUGCUUUAAGAGGAACAACUGAAAUUGUUAAACUGUUUUAAGAACCAAACCAACCAAAAACCAAAACCAACCAACUUCAUGUAAUGCAAUAUCAUAAUCUGUGCUGCUUCAAGCUGUUUGCUACACAUCUGUCCAAAGCAUAUUAGUAAAAGGAAAGCAUUCGUUUGCAUUAUCAGCCAUCGGUUUGCAGAGCAUUGACUUGCUGACACAUUGUGUUUGUUAGAGUUCUGUUUCUAACUUGCUUUUGUUAAAACAGUGUAACAAAACCAGGAUUUUUAUAUGAAACAGACAAGCAGCAUAAUUGUGUUGUAAUGAGAGAUUAUAUACUUUGUUUGAAUUUGUAUACUGUCAUUGGUUUAUUGAGCGUUCAUCACUUUUGAUAAAUUUGUAGUUCAAUGAUGGAUAAUAUUUUCAAUUCAGCCUUUUGCAACAAAUUAAUCUUAAAGUGAAAUUUGUAUGGAUAUCACUCAGUAUUAGUUACUGACAGAUAGAGGCCUUUAUUAUCCAUUCUUGCAGUAUUGCACUACAUAACAAUAAAGAACAUGUUUACAGGGGUUUCUGGGCCAAAUUCAGCAGUCUGAUAUGUGCACGCUUCUCUGAGCUGCAGGGGGGUUAUGCACAUGUGGUCAGGUGCAGAAUUUGGUUCUGUAAUAUGUUUACAGGUUGUGCUAGUUUCUACAGCUGCAUUUUUAUAUUUUCUUUCCUCCAGUGUUAGUCUAGAAACCAAAUUUGGUAAUACAGUAUAACCAAAGUCAUAACCAACAAUGUGCAAUUUAUUGUAGAUCAACUUGUCAUAUAAAUAUUAGGUUGAUUUCUUUUGUAAAUGUGGAUUUUUUUGUAUUAAUAUUAACACUUUUUUUGAGCAAGUGCUGGUUAAAGUGAUUAGGAAAGUUGGUUCUAAAAGAAAAAAUAGAUUUAUAUACCUGGCUUGCUCUAAUUUUAACAUUUUAUUACCAAUAUGAUCUGCGGAAAUGACAGUACCUAGCUUUGGCCAGGAAAUUUCUGUUUAGUCUUUAUAAAUAUGCAAGAAGAAAGUGUAGCACAUCUCUCUAUAAAGAUAUGUAAAUUAUGUAACAAAUGUAAUGGGUCUUAAGGGAUAUUUAAAAUCCCACUUUGUUUUAUCCUUUGUCUAGGUCAUUAGGGCUGAGAAUAUGACAUGUAAAUAAAGGUAACUUAUACAGAUUUCCCAAAUCUAUAUCCGGUUUUGUAAAACAUGAAUGAUAUAUCAGUAAAUCUGUAUAGAUUUGAAUGUAGCAGGGUUUGUUGCAUAAAGUAUAAAAUAAGGAUCCCGAAAGCGGUAAAUAAAAGUUUAUUCUAAUAA
This is an RNA transcript of Strigops habroptila (Kakapo), 7797 nucleotides long. It is a transcript of the gene named NEDD4 E3 ubiquitin protein ligase, with no coding region annotated. The record is from RefSeq and is a predicted model, not a curated record. The transcript has 25 exons. Lineage: Eukaryota; Metazoa; Chordata; Aves; Psittaciformes; Psittacidae.